Molecule: long non-coding RNA, 625 nt
Organism: Anguilla anguilla (European eel)
Lineage: Eukaryota; Metazoa; Chordata; Actinopteri; Anguilliformes; Anguillidae
Exons: 2
Source: RefSeq, a predicted model, not a curated record
CAUUUCAUUUAAUCAAAACUAUGUCACAAUAUUUUGUGGUGCAAGAAGAUUGAACUGGGAUAAAUCAAAAAAUAAAAUGUAUUUUCAGACUAGAAAUGAUUGUUGUUUCUUCCAUACAAAUAUCAAUUGUCAAGUAACAUCCUGUCUGAGUCUUUGCUGUCUGGACUGUGUGAGCUCUUCAUAAAAAAAGGAGUAUUUAGGGACAUUAGCAACACAAACUCACUGUAGUAGUGCAACAUCGCUCAUCUGAGAAGAGAGGGGAUAUAAGAUAAAACUGAUAAGAUGAAGUUCCUCUUCAUACUCAGCAUUGAAACUGAGACAGAGGCAUGAUAUAAAUAUCUGUGGCACGUUUAAAUUAAAACCAGUUUGUUUUCACUGUAAGCAAAACAUAACAGUUUUCAGCCAACGGUAUACGCAGACACUCGCUCAUAUCUAGCUUGGUUUGCUACUACAUUCUAGCAAAGCUAGUUACUAAGCAAGACUUCCUGUACCUGCGAAUCUCACAUUGAUAGGAGGCUACUGCCAUCUACUGACAUAAGUUAGUAUUGAAAUACAAGUACAAUUAUUGAUGUUCCAUAGUUUUGAAGAAGUUAGGUGCACUUGUUUUAAAGUUUUGUUAAUUGUA